RNAcentral lists this ribosomal RNA (598 nucleotides) under Hepatozoon canis. RNAcentral describes it as "bacterial SSU rRNA". It matches the Rfam family "Eukaryotic small subunit ribosomal RNA", at positions 220 to 809 of the family's 1831-position model. The record is from RNAcentral. Lineage: Eukaryota; Apicomplexa; Hepatozoidae.
CACUGCAUGCUUUUACAGUAUGGAAAUUGGUGAUUUAUAAUAACUUGGCAAAUCGCAAAGUGAAAACAGGCGAUAAAUCAUUCAAGUUUCUGACCUAUCAGCUUUCGACGGUAUGGUAUUGGCUUACCGUGGCAGUGACGGUUAACGGGGGAUUAGGGUUCGAUUCCGGAGAGGGAGCCUGAGAAACGGCUACCACAUCUAAGGAAGGCAGCAGGCGCGCAAAUUACCCAAUUCUAACAGUUUGAGAGAGGUAGUAACAAGAAAUAACAAUACAAGGCAAUUAAAAUGCUUUGUAAUUGGAAUGAUAGAAAUUUAAACCCUUUUUAAAGUAUCAAUUGGAGGGCAAGUCUGGUGCCAGCAGCCGCGGUAAUUCCAGCUCCAAUAGCGUAUAUUAAAAUUGUUGCAGUUAAAAAGCUCGUAGUUGAAGUUCUGCUAAAAGUAACCGGUCUGCUUUUAAUAAAAGUGGUAUCUUGGUGUGUAUUUAGCAAUGAUGUCCUUUGAAGUGUUUUUUACUUUAUUGUAAUAAAGCAUAUUCAGGACUUUUACUUUGAGAAAAUUAGAGUGUUUCUAGCAGGCCGACGCUUUGAAUACUGCAGCA